CGGUGAAUAGCGCAGUUUGGACGACUAUCUGGUUUGGGACCAGAGGGUCGGGGGUUCGAAUCCCUCUUCACCGACCA
Molecule: transfer RNA, 77 nt
Filed under: Vibrio cholerae
Lineage: Bacteria; Pseudomonadati; Pseudomonadota; Gammaproteobacteria; Vibrionales; Vibrionaceae
Description: tRNA-Pro
Rfam family: tRNA
About the family: Transfer RNA (tRNA) molecules are approximately 80 nucleotides in length. Their secondary structure includes four short double-helical elements and three loops (D, anti-codon, and T loops).
Source: RNAcentral